CUACUAUGGAGAGUUUGAUCCUGGCUCAGGACGAACGCUGGCGGCGUGCCUAAUACAUGCAAGUCGAGCGGAGUAUUUCCUUCGGGGAAUGCUUAGCGGCGGACGGGUGAGUAACACGUAGGUAACCUGCCUAUCAGAUCGGGAUAACUAUCGGAAACGAUAGCUAAGACCGGAUAACUGGUUUUCUCGCAUGAGAGAAUUAUGAAACACGGAGUAAUCUGUGGCUGAUAGAUGGGCCUGCGGCGCAUUAGCUAGUUGGUGGGGUAACGGCUCACCAA
RNAcentral lists this ribosomal RNA (278 nucleotides) under Paenibacillus ferrarius. Its description in RNAcentral is "partial 16S ribosomal RNA". It matches the Rfam family "Bacterial small subunit ribosomal RNA", at positions 1 to 271 of the family's 1533-position model. The record is from RNAcentral. Lineage: Bacteria; Bacillati; Bacillota; Bacilli; Caryophanales; Paenibacillaceae.